Molecule: non-coding RNA, 303 nt
Organism: Cinara cedri
Lineage: Eukaryota; Metazoa; Arthropoda; Insecta; Hemiptera; Aphididae
Source: the annotation of a GenBank genome assembly
AGAGCUUCAUUACAUAAUCUUGAAAAUUAAAGGCCAAUUAGAUUUUAAAUUUUUUACUUUUUAACAUAUACAAAGCCCAAAUAAUAACAUAAAAACAGCCUGCAUUCAGUUAUCAAAAAUUUGCAGUAGAAAAUAUCGCUAAAACACUUGGUGUGCAUAACUAGUUACAGGAGAAUGCUCAAAACUGCAUCGCAAAAUCGCGACUGUUAUAAUCAACUGGGCAUUGGACGAUUUAAAAAAAGUAAUUUUCGGCGAUUUUUCAGGCUUCGUCUGAUGUGCGGACGAGAGUAUUAUAGGACGCGA